This 1046-nucleotide ribosomal RNA is filed under the name uncultured bacterium. RNAcentral's name for it is "bacterial SSU rRNA". It matches the Rfam family "Bacterial small subunit ribosomal RNA", at positions 358 to 1401 of the family's 1533-position model. The record is from RNAcentral.
GGAAUAUUGGUCAAGGGGAGUAAGCCUGAACCAGACAAGUCGCGUGAGGGAAGAAGAUCCUAUGGAUAGUAAACCUCUUUUGUCGGGGAGCAAAUCGUGGUACGAGUACCGCGAAGGAGAGUACCCGAAGAAAAAGCAUCGGCUAACUCCGUGCCAGCAGCCGCGGUAAUACGGAGGAUGCGAGCGUUAUCCGGAUUUAUUGGGUUUAAAGGGUGCGCAGGCGGAUUUGUAAGUCAGGGGUAAAAAUGCGGUGCUCAACGCCGUAUCGCCGUUGAAACUGCGGGUCUUGAGUGAGCGAGAAGUAUGCGGAAUGCGUGGUGUAGCGGUGAAAUGCAUAGAUAUCACGCAGAACUCCGAUUGCGAAGGCAGCAUACCGGCGCUCAACUGACGCUGAGGCACGAAAGCGUGGGGAUCGAACAGGAUUAGAUACCCUGGUAGUCCACGCAGUAAACGAUGAAUGCUAACUGUUCGGUCCGCUUAAGGGCUGGGUGGUACAGCGAAAGCGUUAAGCAUUCCACCUGGGGAGUACGCCGGCAACGGUGAAACUCAAAGGAAUUGACGGGGGCCCGCACAAGCGGAGGAACAUGUGGUUUAAUUCGAAGCAACGCGAAGAACCUUACCAGCCCUUGACAUCCUGCUGGCAGCCCGGUAAUGCGGGCUUUCCUACGGGACAGCAGAGACAGGUGGUGCAUGGUUGUCGUCAGCUCGUGUCGUGAGAUGUUGGGUUAAGUCCCGCAACGAGCGCAACCCCUGCUUACAGUAGCCAGCAGCAAGGCUGGGCACUCUGUAAGGACUGCCGGGGAUAACCCGGAGGAAGGCGGGGACGACGUCAAAUCAUCAUGCCCCUUAUGGGCUGGGCUACACACGUGCUACAAUGGCGCCAACAGAGUGAGGCGAACCUGCGAGGGGGAGCAAAGCACAAAAAAGGCGUCCCAGUUCGGAUUACAGCCUGCAACCCGGCUGUAUGAAGCUGGAAUCGCUAGUAAUCGCAGAUCAGAAUGCUGCGGUGAAUACGAUCCCGGGUCUUGCACACACCGCCCGUCAAG